This 420-nucleotide ribosomal RNA is filed under the name uncultured bacterium. RNAcentral's name for it is "bacterial SSU rRNA". It matches the Rfam family "Bacterial small subunit ribosomal RNA", at positions 359 to 777 of the family's 1533-position model. The record is from RNAcentral.
GAAUAUUGGGCAAUGGGCGAGAGCCUGACCCAGCCAUGCCGCGUGCAGGAAGACGGCCUAUUGGGUUGUAAACUGCUUUUAUACGGGAAGAAAAGGCCCAUGCGUGGGACAUUGCCGGUACCGUAUGAAUAAGCACCGGCUAACUCCGUGCCAGCAGCCGCGGUAAUACGGAGGGUGCAAGCGUUGUCCGGAUUUAUUGGGUUUAAAGGGUGCGUAGGCGGCUGUUUAAGUCAGUGGUGAAAGACUCCGGCUCAACCGGGGCAGUGCCAUUGAUACUGGACAGCUUGAGUGUUGGAGGGGUACAUGGAAUUGAUGGUGUAGCGGUGAAAUGCAUAGAUACCAUCAGGAACACCGAUAGCGAAGGCAUUGUACUGGCCAACAACUGACGCUGAGGCACGAAAGCAUGGGUAGCGAACAGGA